CGGCCGCGGUAUCCUGACCGUGCGAAGGUAGCAUAAUCAUUUGUUCUUUAAAUAGGGACUAGUAUCAACGGCAUCACGAGGGUUAUACUGUCUCCUCUCUCCAAUCAGUGAAACUGAUCUCCCCGUGAAGAAGCGGGGAUAAAUCUAUAAGACGAGAAGACCCCAUGGAGCUUUAAACUCAACAACAAUUUCCCUUAAGAUAUUCUACAUAAUUAUGGAAGUACUGUUUGUUAGUUUUGGGUUGGGGUGACCGCGGAGAAAAAUUAAACCUCCACGACGAAUGGAAUUAACUCCUAAUCUAAGAGCCACCGCUCUAAGAAUCAAUAAAUUGACAUAAUCUGAUCCGAUAAUCGAUCAACGGACCAAGUUACCCUGGGGAUAACAGCGCAAUCCAUUUCAAGAGCUCCUAUCGACAAAUGGGUUUACGACCUCGAUGUUGGAUCAGGGUAUCCCAGUGGUGCAGCCGCU
This 468-nucleotide ribosomal RNA is filed under the name Nanorana liebigii (spiny-armed frog). Its description in RNAcentral is "partial large subunit ribosomal RNA". It matches the Rfam family "Bacterial large subunit ribosomal RNA", at positions 1928 to 2563 of the family's 2925-position model. Lineage: Eukaryota; Metazoa; Chordata; Amphibia; Anura; Dicroglossidae. The record is from RNAcentral.